CAGGCCUAACACAUGCAAGUCGAACGAGCUGAGACCUUCGGGUCUCGAUGCUAGUGGCGCACGGGUGAGUAACGCGUGGGAACGUACCCUUUAGUACGGAAUAACCAAGGGAAACUUUGGCUAAUACCGUAUACGCCCUUCGGGGGAAAGAUUUAUCGCUAAAGGAUCGGCCCGCGUCUGAUUAGGUAGUUGGUGAGGUAACGGCUCACCAAGCCGACGAUCAGUAGCUGGUCUGAGAGGAUGAUCAGCCACACUGGGACUGAGACACGGCCCAGACUCCUACGGGAGGCAGCAGUGGGGAAUAUUGGACAAUGGGCGAAAGCCUGAUCCAGCCAUGCCGCGUGAGUGAAGAAGGCCUUCGGGUUGUAAAGCUCUUUCGACGGGGACGAUGAUGACGGUACCCGUAUAAGAAGCCCCGGCAAACUUCGUGCCAGCCGCCGCAGUAA
RNAcentral lists this ribosomal RNA (446 nucleotides) under uncultured bacterium. Its description in RNAcentral is "partial 16S ribosomal RNA". It matches the Rfam family "Bacterial small subunit ribosomal RNA", at positions 43 to 523 of the family's 1533-position model. The record is from RNAcentral.